AAGGCUGACAGGAAUGGUAAACGGUGUUCCUCUCUUUCUUCCUCACCCUCUCCUUCAACAGAAUCCACACCAAUCUCCUCAUAAUUCUUCUCCAGGGCAGCUAUGUCCUCAGAGGCCUCAAAAAACUCUCCUUCCUCCAUGCUUUCACCCACUUACCAGUGAAUAAAUCAUACAUACAUCAGGUGAAUCUUGGGGUCCAGGCGAGCCCAGGACUCAGCAAUGGCUGUGGUAUUGCUCAGCAUGCACACAGCUCAUUGUACUUUGGCCAGGUCUCCACCAGCUACCACAGUGAGAGACCUGUAAUCAAUACCAACUUUGAAGCCAGUGGGGUACCAUCCCACAAAGGGGAUGCUUGGUCUUGUUGGUGGCAAUGGCAGCACUGACAUCUUUGGGAACCACAUCGCCAUGGUACAACAGGCAGCAAGCCAUGUAUUUACCAUGGUGAGGGUCACAUUUCACCAUCUGGCUUUCUGGCUCAACUCACAUACUAGUGGUCUCUGCUCAGAGGACUGUUCAUGGUAGGUUUUCUCAGUAGAGAUGGCAAGGGCAUAUAUGGCCAGAGGGAAAUGGAUG
Molecule: long non-coding RNA, 573 nt
Filed under: Lynx pardinus (Iberian lynx)
Lineage: Eukaryota; Metazoa; Chordata; Mammalia; Carnivora; Felidae
Source: RNAcentral